GAUGAACGCUGACAGAAUGCUUAACACAUGCAAGUCGAUUCGAUUUACCUUCGGGUAUUGAGGAUGGCGGACGGGUGAGUAACGCGUAAGGAACUUGCCUCUUGGUCUGGGACAACUGUUGGAAACGACAGCUAAUACCGGAUAUUAUGAGAUUCUCGCAUGGGAAACUUAUGAAAGCUAUAUGCGCCAAGAGAGAGCCUUGCGUUCCAUUAGCUAGUUGGUGGGGUAACGGCCCACCAAGGCGACGAUGGAUAGCCGGCCUGAGAGGGUGAACGGCCACAAGGGGACUGAGACACGGCCCUUACUCCUACGGGAGGCAGCAGUGGGGAAUAUUGGACAAUGGGCCACAAGCCUGAUCCAGCAAUUCUGUGUGCACGAUGAAGGUCUUCGGAUUGUAAAGUGCUUUCAGUUGGGAAGAAGAAAGUGACGGUACCAACAGAAGAAGCGACGGCUAAAUACGUGCCAGCAGCCGCGGUAAUACGUAUGUCGCAAGCGUUAUCCGGAUUUAUUGGGCGUAAAGCGCGUCUAGGCGGAAAAAUAAGUCUGAUGUUAAAAUGCGGGGCUCAACUCCGUAUUGCGUUGGAAACUGUUUUUCUAGAGUACUGGAGAGGUGGGCGGAACUACAAGUGUAGAGGUGAAAUUCGUAGAUAUUUGUAGGAAUGCCGAUGGAGAAGUCAGCUCACUGGNCAGAUACUGACGCUAAAGCNCGAAAGCGUGGGGAGCAAACAGGANUAGAUACCCUGGUAGUCCACGCCGUAAACGAUGAUCACUAGGUGNUGGGGGUCGAACCUCA
RNAcentral lists this ribosomal RNA (793 nucleotides) under uncultured prokaryote. RNAcentral's name for it is "bacterial SSU rRNA". It matches the Rfam family "Bacterial small subunit ribosomal RNA", at positions 28 to 842 of the family's 1533-position model. The record is from RNAcentral.